CGGCCCUCAUUCUCCCUGCAGGCAUCGCCCACAGGGACCUGAAGCCGGA
RNAcentral lists this microRNA precursor (49 nucleotides) under Pteropus alecto (black flying fox). RNAcentral describes it as "microRNA pal-mir-10013 precursor". Lineage: Eukaryota; Metazoa; Chordata; Mammalia; Chiroptera; Pteropodidae. The record is from miRBase by way of RNAcentral.